CUCCUCAGCUCUUUCUGGGACAGUGGCGCGGCUGCCCCUCUGUGGGUCUUCCUUGGUCUCUUGUGUUCUGGGGGCCUCUGGAUGUCUGGAGUUUUGAUCUCCUCCAUACCUGCUUCACACCCUGGAGGACGGGGCUGUGGCCCCCCCACACUCCCUAGCAGAUCGUUACAUGGAGAAACCUUUGGAAUACAAGCGCGCUGAUCCACACAGGUGAUCCAGGAGAUUUUUAUUUUUUUUCUCCCCCCCUUUCUCACUGUCCCUCUCCCCUUCUGUUUUUCCUUUCCUUCCUCUUUCUUUCUCCCUUUCCUAUCUCUCACUCAUGUCUGUCCCGUCUGUAACAUCUGAAAAUAAAAUAUAAUAAAUAAUAAAAACAAAGAUCGACCAAAUGGACCAAUACGGCAAUGCCACGAUGAUCCAUUUGGCAAAGUAAAUCCAUUGGGUCUCCUUGUUGGUCUUCAGACAACAAUUCUGAUGGCUAAAGAACCAAAUGGGACAGGCGAAAAAAAAAAGAAAAAAAAAAAGAAAAAACAAAAGUUGUAUCCAAGAUGGCCGACUUCUAAAUGGCCACCAUGGUCGCCGCCCAUCUUGAGGAGUUUGCCCCUCACAUAUACUAAUGUGCCACAAACAGGACUUUAAUAUCACCAACCAUUCCCAUGUUGUUACACUGUAUCCAUAGAAAUGGCCCACCCUGUACAAUGUGUUUGAUGUAUGAAGCUAAAAUUUCAGCGUGCACAUUAUAGCCGCUCAAACUUUGGACCGUAACAUUUUUGUUCAAACUUUGACGGUCAAGAAGAAAUGGAGCGACCCCGAAUAUUUUCACCUCGGUGCUUCCUGUCUCUUGCUCUUUUGUCACUUCCCACAUGUGUAGUUAUUGCUGCUCACUUCCUGUUUUAUUUUGGUAGUCUCUCCUGGCCUUGAUUCUUAUCACCUGUGUCUCCCUGUGUGCAGGAUUCAGGCGUUUUAUUGUCCUGACUGGAAACUUUUACAGACAGUCGAGAAAUGAUCCACAAAGAGCAGAAAGAACUCCACAUCCAAAAUACACCAAAUAUACAAAAUCAUGACACGUAAUCCUGCAGUAAAAAAAUCACUACUGUGUGUAAAAACCACUAAAACGGUGC
Molecule: long non-coding RNA, 1118 nt
Organism: Astatotilapia calliptera (eastern happy)
Lineage: Eukaryota; Metazoa; Chordata; Actinopteri; Cichliformes; Cichlidae
Source: Ensembl